RNAcentral lists this ribosomal RNA (468 nucleotides) under uncultured bacterium. RNAcentral describes it as "partial 16S ribosomal RNA". It matches the Rfam family "Bacterial small subunit ribosomal RNA", at positions 28 to 507 of the family's 1533-position model. The record is from RNAcentral.
GACGAACGCUGGCGGCGUGCUUAACACAUGCAAGUCGAACGGAAAGGCCCUGCUUUUGUGGGGUGCUCGAGUGGCGAACGGGUGAGUAACACGUGAGUAACCUGCCCUUGACUUUGGGAUAACUUCAGGAAACUGGGGCUAAUACCGGAUAGGAGCUCCUGCUGCAUGGUGGGGGUUGGAAAGUUUCGGCGGUUGGGGAUGGACUCGCGGCUUAUCAGCUUGUUGGUGGGGUAGUGGCUUACCAAGGCUUUGACGGGUAGCCGGCCUGAGAGGGUGACCGGCCACAUUGGGACUGAGAUACGGCCCAGACUCCUACGGGAGGCAGCAGUGGGGAAUAUUGCACAAUGGGCGGAAGCCUGAUGCAGCGACGCCGCGUGCGGGAUGACGGCCUUCGGGUUGUAAACCGCUUUCGCCUGUGAUGAAGCGUGAGUGACGGUAAUGGGUAAAGAAGCACCGGCUAACUACGUG